CCCACCUGCAAGACCCCUAUAUAAGCUUCCAGCUCAGCCCAUGCAGUUGCUGGUCUCCAUUCUGUCAGUCAGCCCAGCAGGCUGCAGACUGCCGCCCCAAUAAAGCUUGCCUGAACGUCCAUGUGUGCCCCCCUUCUUCAGUGACCCUUACAUUCUGGUGCCAAAACCCAGGAGGCAGCGCUAUUGGGACCUGUGGGCUCACCCCACUGGGGUCCAGAACUGCACUCCCGAUGGCCCCUUCCCGGGCCUGCAGUUGCCGAACUGGGGCACACACCUCUGGGGCUUUCAGUCCUUUGCCAUUGCUGAUGCUGCAUCCAACACCAGCCUGAUUCUCUCAACAGUGUGGGAGGCCAGUCCCCUCCUCCCCUUCCCAUGAGGGAAUCUGGUCCGUCUCUGCCUGACCUGUUGGGCCUAGCCUCAGAAGAGUGACGUUGCCCUGGGAUGUUGGCCCCUUCGCCCAUCACAUCAAAGGAGCCCAGGGUAACUAUCCACAUGGCAGGACCUACCCGGCUUAAACUGACCAGGAUUACAGAACAUCCUUCCCCCCACUGCUGAAACCUCACAAUAGGCUGUCAUACAUGAGGCUAAAUUUGGCCAUCAUGACCAUCGUUGCCGCUCCUAAAGAACUGGCACUCUGGGAGUUCCAUGUCCACCAAAAAUGGCAAUGUCUCUGAAAGCAUGGCUGACUGGGGCGUCACAGAGGCUCCCGUGCUGUGCCAACUUCCCAGCCAGCCCCCACUCCCCAAAAAAACUUCGUCCCUGAUCAGCAGGAAGUAGAUAUGAAAGAAGAUACCGCUGCCCCAAUUUCAUAACAAAAUAAAGGCUGGGAUGUUAGGUAUUUCAGACCCCCCACAGAGCAAGCCCCCUCCCCUGCCUUCCCCUUGCCCUACUCCGGCCACAGGGAACAGGGAACUUCCGCAUAACUAAGGCUUGACCUACCUUUGUUUGUGACUCCCUGCCUAGUUAAGGUCUUUCUGCCCCACUGGUUUCAUGGUCAGAUGUUCCAGUAAGAUAGGGGCUUCCCAAAAGCAGUGACUCCAUCCUCCCUGACCGAAACCUGCUGCUACAUACCCCAGCCCCAGUCACCCACCCCCACCAAUGGACUGGUGCUCUCCCACCUGCAAGACCCCUAUAUAAGCUUCCAGCUCAGCCCAUGCAGUUGCUGGUCUCCAUUCUGUGAGUCAGCCCAGCAGGCUGCAGACUGCCGCCCCAAUACAGCUUGCUUGAACGUCCGUGUGUGCCCCCCUUCUUUGGCAACCCUUUUACCUAAUGCUUACACAAAAAAGGUAACCUGAUGUUGACCAAUCAGUUAUUUUCCCAUUGUUGUCUCUCUGUCCCUAAUUUGCAAGAAAAGAUCUUUGAAGUGAG
RNAcentral lists this long non-coding RNA (1368 nucleotides) under Heterocephalus glaber (naked mole-rat). RNAcentral describes it as "lncRNA (ENSHGLG00100041313.1)". The record is from RNAcentral. Lineage: Eukaryota; Metazoa; Chordata; Mammalia; Rodentia; Bathyergidae.